Molecule: ribosomal RNA, 403 nt
Filed under: uncultured bacterium
Lineage: Bacteria
Description: partial 16S ribosomal RNA
Rfam family: Bacterial small subunit ribosomal RNA
Source: RNAcentral
GACGAACGCUGGCGGCGUGCCUAAUACAUGCAAGUCGAACGCAGUGGGGACGGGUGAGUAACACGUGGGUAACCUCCCAUCAGAUGGGAUAACACUUGGAAACAGGUGCUAAACCGAUCCUGAUGGAGGGACCCGCGGUGCAUUAGCUAGUUGGUGAGGUAACGGCUCACCAAGGCCACGAUGCAUAGCCGCCCAGAGAGGGUGAUGGGGCCGACUGGGACUGAGACACGGCCGCGAUUCCUACGGGAGGCAGCAGUAGGGAAUAUGCGGCAAUGGACGAAAGUCUGACCGAGCAACGCCGCGUGAGUGAAGAAGGUUUUCGGAUCGUAAAACUCUGUUGUUAGAGAAGCGGUAUCUAACCAGAAAGCCACGGCUAACUACGUGCCAGCCGCCGCGGUAAUAC